This 433-nucleotide ribosomal RNA is filed under the name uncultured bacterium. RNAcentral describes it as "partial 16S ribosomal RNA". It matches the Rfam family "Bacterial small subunit ribosomal RNA", at positions 29 to 507 of the family's 1533-position model. The record is from RNAcentral.
AGCGAACGCUGGCGGCAGGCCUAACACAUGCAAGUCGAACGAACUCUUCGGAGUUAGUGGCGGACGGGUGAGUAACACGUGGGAACGUGCCUUUUGGUUUGGAAUAAUUCAGGGAAAUUUGUGCUAAUACAGAAUGUGCCCUUCGGGGGAAAGAUUUGUCGCCAUUAGAGCGGCCCGCGUCUGAUUAGCCAGUUGGUGAGGUAACGGCUCACCAAGGCGACGAUCAGUAGCUGGUCUGAGAGGAUGACCAGCCACACUGGGACUGAGACACGGCCCAGACUCCUACGGGAGGCAGCAGUGGUGAAUCUUGCGCAAUGGGCGAAAGCCUGACGCAGCCAUGCCGCGUGAAUGAUGAAGGUCUUAGGAUUGUAAAAUUCUUUCACCGGGGACGAUAAUGACGGUACCCGGAGAAGAAGCCCCGGCUAACUUCGUG